UUCCAGUUCAAACUCUUUCCAGAAGGUGCCCGUGCAAGACAACUAUGGCUCGCGCAGUUGCGACUUUGGCUCGAUGAAGGCAGAAUAAAAUAAUGUGGCAAUUGGCUCGCGUUGCUCUGUUUAUCAUCGGCGCUCUCUCUGGCAAUUGUUGGAGCCAUCCUGAGAACUCUUCAGUAAUAAGCAGCUGCCUCCAGAGUUUUAAUUAUGACCACUGUCACUUAACCCCAGAAGGUGUUCAUGAUUUAGAUUGUUAUCAACGGGGACCAGAGAAAAUGACACGGUGUGUGUGGAAACCGGGACAACGGUCCUCAAAUAAAACAACCUACAGUCUCGUCAUAGAACAGAAAGACAGAGAUUUCUGCGAAGGGUAUAAAUAUAUAUCCAAGACGACACAUCUGUUCCAGCCAUACACAGAUCAUGAAAUGACUGCAUACGUUGUCGAUGCUAGCAGUGAUGAGACGAAUUGCACGAUGGCAAUUUUCAAUGGAAUACCAAAAUAUCUGGGUAUGUUACUUAUUAAAAACAUGCUUAUUCAAUUAAAUUCAAUUUUAUUUGUAUGGUGCUUUUGACACUAUACGAGGGCAUUGUCUCA
Molecule: long non-coding RNA, 592 nt
Organism: Anguilla anguilla (European eel)
Lineage: Eukaryota; Metazoa; Chordata; Actinopteri; Anguilliformes; Anguillidae
Exons: 5
Source: RefSeq, a predicted model, not a curated record